This 465-nucleotide ribosomal RNA is filed under the name uncultured bacterium. RNAcentral describes it as "partial 16S ribosomal RNA". It matches the Rfam family "Bacterial small subunit ribosomal RNA", at positions 339 to 795 of the family's 1533-position model. The record is from RNAcentral.
CUACGGGGCGCUCCAGUAGGGAAUUUUGCGCAAUGGGCGAAAGCCUGACGCAGCAACGCCGCGUGAUCGAUGAAGCUCCUAGGAGUGUAAAGAUCUGUCAUAAGGGAAGAAAAGUUUUAAUAUUAAUAGUAUUAGAAUUUGACGGUACCUUAUAAGAAAGCACCGGCUAACUUCGUGCCAGCAGCCGCGGUAAUACGAGGGGUGCAAGCGUUGUCCGGAAUCAUUGGGCGUAAAGGGUGCGUAGGCGUCCGAGAAAGUUAUUUGUUAAAUCCUCCGGCUUAACCGGAGUUCUGCAAGUAAAACUACUCGGAUAGAGUUUAAGAGAGGAAAAUGGAAUUCCUGGUGUAGCGGUGACAUGCGUAGAUAUCAGGAGGAACAUCUAUGGCGAAGGCAGUUUUCUGGCUUAAAACUGACGCUGAGGCACGAAAGCGUGGGGAGCAAACAGGAUUAGAUACCCUUGUAGUC